AUUGAACGCUGGCGGCAGGCCUAACACAUGCAAGUCGAACGGUAACAGGAAACAGCUUGCUGUUUCGCUGACGAGUGGCGGGCGGGUGAGUAAUGUCUGGGAAACUGCCUGAUGGAGGGGGAUAACUACUGGAAACGGUAGCGAAUACCGCAUAACGUCGCAAGACCAAAGAGGGGGACCUUCGGGCCCCUUGCCCUCGGAUGUGCCCAGAUGGGAUUAGCUAGUAGGUGGGGUAACGGCUCACCUAGGCGACGAUCCCUAGCUGGUCUGAGAGGAUGACCAGCCACACUGGAACUGAGACACGGUCCAGACUCCUACGGGAGGCAGCAGUGGGGAAUAUUGCACAAUGGGCGCAAGCCUGAUGCAGCCAUGCCGCGUGUAUGAAGAAGGCCUUCGGGUUGUAAAGUACUUUCAGCGGGGAUGAAGGGAGUAAAGUUAAUACCUUUGCUCAUUGACGUUACCCACAGAAGAAGCACCGGCUAACUCCGUG
RNAcentral lists this ribosomal RNA (490 nucleotides) under uncultured bacterium. RNAcentral's name for it is "partial 16S ribosomal RNA". It matches the Rfam family "Bacterial small subunit ribosomal RNA", at positions 30 to 507 of the family's 1533-position model. The record is from RNAcentral.